UACGAGAGGCGCAAACGUUAUUCGGAAUUACUGGGCUUAAAGAGUUCGUAGGCGGCGCGGAAAGUAGGGUGUGAAAGCCCUCGGCUCAACCGAGGAAUUGCGCUCUAAACUACCGUGCUUGAGGAACCUAGAGGUGAGCAGAACUGAUGGUGGAGCGGUGAAAUGCGUUGAUAUCAUCAGGAAUACCGGAGGCGAAGGCGGCUCACUGGGGGUUUUCUGACGCUGAGGAACGAAAGCCAGGGGAGCGAACGGG
This 253-nucleotide ribosomal RNA is filed under the name uncultured bacterium. RNAcentral describes it as "partial 16S ribosomal RNA". It matches the Rfam family "Bacterial small subunit ribosomal RNA", at positions 524 to 776 of the family's 1533-position model. The record is from RNAcentral.